CCUACGGGUGGCUGCAGUGAGGAAUAUUGGUCAAUGGACGAGAGUCUGAACCAGCCAAGCAGCGUGAAGGAUGACUGCUCUAUGGGUUGUAAACUGCUUUUAUAUGAGAAUAAAAUGUUCCACGUGUGGGAUUUUGUAUGUACCAUAUGAAUAAGGAUCGGCUAACUCCGUGCCAGCAGCCGCGGUAAUACGGAGGAUCCGAGCGUUAUCCGGAUUUAUUGGGUUUAAAGGGAGCGUAGGUGGUCUGCUAAGUCAGUGGUGAAAGUCUGCGGCUCAACCGUAAAAUUGCAGUUGAAACUGGUAGUCUUGAGUGUAGUAGAGGUAGGCGGAAUUCGUGGUGUAGCGGUGAAAUGCUUAGAUAUCACGAAGAACUCCGAUUGCGAAGGCAGCUCACUGGACUGCAACUGACGCUGAGGCACGAAAGUGUGGGGAUCAAACAGGAUUAGAUACCCUUGUAGUC
This 460-nucleotide ribosomal RNA is filed under the name uncultured bacterium. Its description in RNAcentral is "partial 16S ribosomal RNA". It matches the Rfam family "Bacterial small subunit ribosomal RNA", at positions 338 to 795 of the family's 1533-position model. The record is from RNAcentral.